AGCUCAUUUAUUAAUGAGUUAAUUCUGCUAUUUGUCAUAUGAGAGAAAAAGCCGUUUUACGCUAAGGUAGCGUAAUCAAAAGCUUGCUAAUUACAAGCCAGUAUGAAAGAAACCAUCCAGACCAGCUAUCAAAAGUAAAAAAUUGAAAUUAAAAUUAAUUAAAAUAAACAUAAUUUUACCCGUAAGACGAGAAGACCCUAAGAACUUUCCUUUGACUAGGUUAAUUGGGGAAAUUUUUCUUUUAAAUCGAGUAAAAAACAAAUUAAAAACGUAAGAUUCACUUUAAAAUAAGUUACCUUAGGGAUAACAGGGUAAUAAAAAACAACAGAUCGCAUAAAAUUUUUUGUUUUCCACCUCGAUGUUGAAUUCUCCUACCUAACCCCCGCAAGCGGGGGUUGAUUAUAGACUGUUCGUCUAAUUAAAGAG
Molecule: ribosomal RNA, 426 nt
Filed under: Neolitaculus sp. NJAUAcariEriGL
Lineage: Eukaryota; Metazoa; Arthropoda; Arachnida; Trombidiformes; Eriophyidae
Description: partial 16S ribosomal RNA
Rfam family: Archaeal large subunit ribosomal RNA (bases 179-426)
Source: RNAcentral